GUGCCAGCCGCCGCGGUAAUACCGGCAACCCGAGUGAUGGCCGAUCUUAUUGGGCCUAAAGCGUCCGUAGCUGGCCGCGCAAGUCCAUCGGGAAAUCCACCUGCUCAACAGGUGGGCGCCCGGUGGAAACUGCACAGCUUGGGACCGGAAGGCUCGAAGGGUACGUGCGGAGUAGGAGUGAAAUCCUAUAAUCCCGCACGGACCACCGAUGGCGAAAGCACUUCGAGAAAACGGAUCCGACAGUGAGGGACGAAAGCCAGGGUCUCCAACCGGAUUAGAUACCCUGUAGUCC
RNAcentral lists this ribosomal RNA (292 nucleotides) under uncultured bacterium. RNAcentral describes it as "partial 16S ribosomal RNA". It matches the Rfam family "Archaeal small subunit ribosomal RNA", at positions 455 to 747 of the family's 1478-position model. The record is from RNAcentral.